AUUGAACGCUGGCGGCAUGCCUUACACAUGCAAGUCGAACGGCAGCACGGGUGCUUGCACCUGGUGGCGAGUGGCGAACGGGUGAGUAAUACAUCGGAACAUGUCCUGUAGUGGGGGAUAGCCCGGCGAAAGCCGGAUUAAUACCGCAUACGAUCUACGGAUGAAAGCGGGGGACCUUCGGGCCUCGCGCUAUAGGGUUGGCCGAUGGCUGAUUAGCUAGUUGGUGGGGUAAAGGCCUACCAAGGCGACGAUCAGUAGCUGGUCUGAGAGGACGACCAGCAAACCUGGACCGGGGACAGGGCCCAGAUCCCGAGGGGAGGCAGCGUUGGGGAAUUUUGGAAAAUGGGGGAAGGCCGGUUCAAGAAAGGCGGGGGGGGUGAGAAGGCCUUCGGGUUGUAAAGCACUUUUGUCCGGAAAGAAAUCCUUGGCUCUAAUACAGUCGGGGGAUGACGGUACCGGAAGAAUAAGCACCGGCUAACUACGUG
RNAcentral lists this ribosomal RNA (485 nucleotides) under uncultured bacterium. RNAcentral's name for it is "partial 16S ribosomal RNA". It matches the Rfam family "Bacterial small subunit ribosomal RNA", at positions 29 to 507 of the family's 1533-position model. The record is from RNAcentral.